UUCACAACCAUCUAUCUUUUUCCCACGAUAUCCUCAAAACUGAACCUAUACAAUCUGUAGAAAUUCAUGAUUAUUUGAGGAAAUCGCAAACAUCAAUAAUUAGAAAUCCAAUAUAUUAUCAAUCCUUAUCAUAUUUUUGGGUGAUUCUGGAAAAACAAGAAUUGGUUUGUUGCAGGUUCGGGGAGUUUUGCGGUUUUAGGGGUUUUUAGCCAUCGCCUAGAUCAUCAAAAGUCACGAGGGCUGAUGUCUGAAAGAUUUGGGCUACUAGCUGUAAUUGGAACAUAUGUGAAGGAAAAUAGUAUUAAGGUUCAGUUGGAAACUGGUAUAUAACUCACCAUUUAAAUUUAUUCUUAGUGUUGGAAAUAUAUAUUUUUAUGUUCUUUUGCAAUGGGUUAAUUUAACAAAUGUUUACUUUUUAUUUAUGUUCUGUUUGAGUUUUUCAAAUGUAGUAGUCUAAUGAUUUUCAAAUACCGUUGAUUAGUGGACUACAUGCUUUGAAAGCUAAAAUUUUCGAGUUUAAGAUUGUUGCUCAAAUGGAAAAGGUUAUUAAUGACGAUGAUUAAUAGGUUGGAAGGGAGUUAAUGAUCUAUUUUGUCAUUUAAGAAAGGGCAAUGACAUCAUCCUAUUACCCUAGAGUCCCGGGUUUGAUUUUCCAUUUAAAUAAGUGGUUAUAAAGAAAAAGGCCUAUUAUCUUAAUUUAUAUAUUUUGACUUAAUUUUGGUUUUUGUAGAAGUCAUUGGAUGUUGGCAAUACUAAACAUUUAAACAACUACUUGCUAUUAUCAUGAUUCCUUAAGGCUUAGCAAUGACAAUCAGCAGAGCAGUCGAGGCAAAUUAUUGAUAUGGAAAUGGUGCCACCAUAAGGGUUAAACUCAACUGGGUCAAGUCUAAGUGUCCAUGUUAGCCGGGAAGUACUGAAUGUGGCUAUUAUGUGAGGAAGUUCAUGAAGGAGAUAGCUUAUGAAGGAGUUGAAAUACUUGACAAUGACAAUUUGUUGUCUCAGGUUGUGGAAGGAGUAGAGGAAUACUCAAAUGCGGAUGACAUUCGCGAAGAUUGGUUGACUUCUGCGGUUACUUCUAUUUUUAAGUGACAACCGGAUUUUAGGCGUUGACGAAUGUAUCGACAAACAAUUCCUUUUUUGUUUACGUUAAAAUAUUUGUAGUAUAUUAGACAAAAGAUUAUGUAAUGAGUUGUUUUGGUAUA
Helianthus annuus (common sunflower) is the source of this 1202-nucleotide long non-coding RNA. RefSeq lists it as uncharacterized. NCBI's taxonomy places the organism in Eukaryota, Viridiplantae, Streptophyta, Magnoliopsida, Asterales, Asteraceae. The transcript is spliced from 6 exons. The record is from RefSeq and is a predicted model, not a curated record.